RNAcentral lists this long non-coding RNA (1202 nucleotides) under Equus caballus (horse). Its description in RNAcentral is "lncRNA (ENSECAG00000052680.1)". Lineage: Eukaryota; Metazoa; Chordata; Mammalia; Perissodactyla; Equidae. The record is from RNAcentral.
CACUUAGCAAUAUUCAUUGAAGAUUCAUCCAUGUCUUCAAUGGCAUGAUAGUGCAUUUCUUUCUAUUGAUGCAUAGUGUUCCAUUGUAUGGAUGUACCACAGUUAAUUUCUUCAUUCACCUUUUGACAGAUAUGAUGACUACUUCCAGUUUUUGAUGAGUAUGAACAGAACUCCCAUGACCAUUCACGUGCAGGUGUGCAAGCUUUUGUGUAGGAAGAAAUUUUCAAGUCAAUUGGGUAAAUACUCAGAAACACAAAUGAUGAGGGAUAAGAACUCUGAAAUACAAAGAACCAAAAUUAUCAACUGCAAAAUAUAUGCAUAAUUGAGGUAAUUUGUAAUUCUGGCAUUAAAAAAUACAUGUAAUAAGCUGUUUAACUUCAUUUCUAGUCUUCUAAUUAAAUAGCAAUAACCUCUUUUAAGGACGAGUUAUGAGUUCUCUUUAACUAUUUCUCCACCUCCAUCAUUGCUACUCUAGGGUUGUCUGUAUACACAAAUGUAGGGAAAACAUAGAAUUUGAGUCCUUUUGAAUGGCUGUCUUGUGAUAUAUCCCUGAUAUAUUUGUAUAAACCUGCCACCAUUUCUUGAUUUCUAAUCUAUUAGUUUCAUACUCAGAGCACUUCCAAAGUUACCAUUGAUAUGAGAGACAUAAAAGUAUCCAUAUCUAAAAUAAUCAAAUUUAUGAGUAGCUGUGUUUAAAGGCAGUUCUCCAUUGCGUUGAUCAGUGAAAAUCUGUGGGACAUUCAGCAAGCAACAUUGACUGCAUUAGCAAUGUGGGAUUCUUCUGUUAUUAGGGAGAGACACUAGAUCAUGGAAGACAGCGCCACAGACUUGCGAGGACCCUCAGGAAAAACUCAUCAAUAUUUUCAAAACACAUCACAUUCCUCUUGUGGUCCUUUGAAAUCCAUUAGCAACCUUACUAGGUUCUCUGUUCUGAAUUAUCUCCCUGUCUUAAUCCUUGACCUACUAAUGUCUCAAAAUGCAUUAAGGCAACAAUUAGUUCCUUCUCUGCUCCUCUCUUUAUGCUGAUCAGGCAUUUGGCACUCUCAUAAGCAUAAGACAACUCAUUUUUCUUCUCCUGCUUGGUAUGAUAAGGCUUUUACUCUAAAUGAGUGAAUAUAAAUUAUUGCAUGAUGUUGAACGACUUCAGUGAGACGAUGAUGGAAAUAGAGAUGGAAUAAAAGGAGGCAGAGGGAAGAAAGUUU